AUAUCAAUAAGCGGAGGAAAAGAAAAUAACAAUGAUUCCCCCAGUAACGGCGAGUGAACAGGGAAAAGCUCAAAGUUGGAACCUCCUGGCCCUAGGCCUGGCGGAUUGUAAACUAAAGCUCUCGAGUAGUUUGGCUAGCCCAGUAAUCAAGUUCUCUGGAAAGGGACGACAAAGAGGGUGAAAUCCCCGUUUUUGGCUGGAGCAUAGUCUUGCGUUUGCUUGGAAGCGAAGAGUCAGGUUGUUUGGUAUUGCAGCCUAAAGCUGGAGGUAAAUCUCUCCUAAAGCUAAAUAUUGACGAAAGACCGAUAGCGAACAAGUACCGUGAGGGAAAGAUGAAAAGCACCUUGAAAAGGGGGUCAAAAAGUAC
Molecule: ribosomal RNA, 367 nt
Filed under: uncultured fungus
Lineage: Eukaryota; Fungi
Description: eukaryotic LSU rRNA
Rfam family: Eukaryotic large subunit ribosomal RNA
Source: RNAcentral